AUGCCCAAGAAAAAGGUCAGCUCCACCGAAGGGGCUGCCAUGGAAGAGCCCAAGAGGAGAUCAGCGCAAUUGUCAGCUAAACCUCCUGCAAAAGUGGAAGCGAAGCCGAAAAAGGCAGCAGCGAAGGAUAAAUUUUCAGACACAAAAGUGCAAAAAAAGGGAAAAGGGGAGCAAAGGGAAAACAGGCCGAAGUGGCUAACCAAAAAACUAAAGAAGAUUUACCUGCAGAAAACAGGGGAAACGAAAACUGAGGAGAGUCCAGCCUCUGAUGAAGCAGGAGAUAAAGAAGCCAAGUCUGAU
RNAcentral lists this long non-coding RNA (300 nucleotides) under Homo sapiens (human). Its description in RNAcentral is "non-protein coding NBR2:7". Lineage: Eukaryota; Metazoa; Chordata; Mammalia; Primates; Hominidae. The record is from RNAcentral.